RNAcentral lists this transfer RNA (73 nucleotides) under Stegodyphus mimosarum. It matches the Rfam family "tRNA". Rfam says of the family: Transfer RNA (tRNA) molecules are approximately 80 nucleotides in length. Their secondary structure includes four short double-helical elements and three loops (D, anti-codon, and T loops). The record is from Rfam by way of RNAcentral. Lineage: Eukaryota; Metazoa; Arthropoda; Arachnida; Araneae; Eresidae.
GCCUUCGUGCUGUAAUGGUCAGCACACUGGCCGCGUCUGCCAGAGGUCUGUGGUUCAAAUCCCGGCGAGAGCA